GUAGGUGGCAAGCGUUGUCCGGAAUUAUUGGGCGUAAAGCGCGCGCAGGCGGUUCUUUAAGUCUGAUGUGAAAGCCCACGGCUCAACCGUGGAGGGUCAUUGGAAACUGGAGAACUUGAGUACAGAAGAGGAAAGCGGAAUUCCACGUGUAGCGGUGAAAUGCGUAGAGAUGUGGAGGAACACCAGUGGCGAAGGCGGCUUUCUGGUCUGUAACCGACGCUGAGGCGCGAAAGCGUGGGGAGCAAACAGGGAUUAGAUACCCUGGUAGUCCACGCCGUAAACGAUGAGUGCUAAGUGUUAGGGGGUUUCCGCCCCCUUAGUGCUGCAGCUAACGCAUUAAGCACUCCGCCUGGGGAUACGGCCGCAAGGCUG
This 372-nucleotide ribosomal RNA is filed under the name uncultured organism. RNAcentral describes it as "partial 16S ribosomal RNA". It matches the Rfam family "Bacterial small subunit ribosomal RNA", at positions 527 to 896 of the family's 1533-position model. The record is from RNAcentral.